This 646-nucleotide ribosomal RNA is filed under the name bacterium HZ35-23. Its description in RNAcentral is "bacterial SSU rRNA". It matches the Rfam family "Bacterial small subunit ribosomal RNA", at positions 338 to 974 of the family's 1533-position model. The record is from RNAcentral.
CCUACGGGAGGCAGCAGUAGGGAAUCUUCCGCAAUGGACGAAAGUCUGACGGAGCAACGCCGCGUGAGCGAUGAAGGCCUUCGGGUCGUAAAGCUCUGUUGUUAGGGAAGAAUAAGUGCUAGUUGAAUAAGCUGGCACCUUGACGGUACCUAACCAGAAAGCCACGGCUAACUACGUGCCAGCAGCCGCGGUAAUACGUAGGUGGCAAGCGUUGUCCGGAAUUAUUGGGCGUAAAGCGCGCGCAGGCGGUUUCUUAAGUCUGAUGUGAAAGCCCCCGGCUCAACCGGGGAGGGUCAUUGGAAACUGGGAAACUUGAGUGCAGAAGAGGAAAGUGGAAUUCCAAGUGUAGCGGUGAAAUGCGUAGAGAUUUGGAGGAACACCAGUGGCGAAGGCGACUUUCUGGUCUGUAACUGACGCUGAGGCGCGAAAGCGUGGGGAGCAACAGGAUUAGAUACCCUGGUAGUCCACGCUGUAAACGAUGAGUGCUAAGUGUUAGAGGGUUUCCGCCCUUUAGUGCUGAAGUUAGCGCAUUAAGCACUCCGCCUGGGGAGUACGGUCGCAAGACUGAAACUCAAAGGAAUUGACGGGGGCCCGCACAAGUGGUGGAGCAUGUGGAUUUAAUUCGAAGCAACGCGAAGAACCUUAC